GACGAACGCUGGCGGCGUGCUUAACACAUGCAAGUCGAACGAAGUGGCGAACGGGUGAGUAACGCGUAAUCAACCUGCCCUUCAGAGGGGGACAACAGUUGGAAACGACUGCUAAUACCGCAUACUGAAGGAGGAGAUUGCGUCUGAAUAGCUAGUUGGAGGGGGAACGGCCCACCAAGGCGAUGAUGAGUAGCCGGUCUGAGAGGAUGGACCGGCACAUUGGGACUUGGAAACGGCCCCGGCCUCUACGGGAGGCAAGAGUGGGUAAUCUUUCGGCAUGGACGAAAGUCUGACGGAGCAACGCCGCGGUGGUGAUGACAGCCUUCGGGUUGUAAAGCUCUGUUAAUCGGGACGCGGUACCGAAAUAGAAAGCCACGGCUAACUACGUGCCAGCAGCCGCGGUAAUAC
This 408-nucleotide ribosomal RNA is filed under the name uncultured bacterium. RNAcentral describes it as "partial 16S ribosomal RNA". It matches the Rfam family "Bacterial small subunit ribosomal RNA", at positions 28 to 526 of the family's 1533-position model. The record is from RNAcentral.